Molecule: unclassified non-coding RNA, 172 nt
Organism: Chrysemys picta bellii (western painted turtle)
Lineage: Eukaryota; Metazoa; Chordata; Testudines; Emydidae
Source: Ensembl
CCAGCUCUGGAGCCAUAAGCCCUCUGUUAAUCCCCAGUGCUGUCUGGGCAGGGGCAGGUGCAAGGGCAGGGGAAGCUUCCCCCAUAAUGUGGCUCAGCUCUGAUCAGGAGGGACCACCUGUAGUGGUGAGACUGGAGCUCCGUCUCUGUGGUCGAUAUAAUCCUUGGCCUUU